AGAAGAGAAGGAACAGUGGCAAGAACAAAUUAAUCAGCUAAAGAAACAACUUGAUUUCAGUGUCAAUAUUUGUCAGACUCUGAUGCAAGACCAGCAGACUUUAUCUUGCUUGCUGCAGACUCUUCUAACAGGUCCAUACAGUGUUCUGCCCAGCAAUGUAGCGUCCCCUCAAGUACACCUUAUCAUGCACCAGCUGAACCAGUGCUACACACAGCUAACAUGGCAGCAGAAUAAUGUCCAGAGGUUAAAACAAAUGCUAACUGAACUUAUGCGCCAACAAAAUCAGCACCCAGAAAAGCCUAGAAGCAAAGAAAGAGGCAGCAGUGCCUCACACCCCUCUUCUCCCAGUUUAUUUUGUCCUUUCAGCUUCCCAACACAGCCUGUAAAUUUGCUGAACCUGCCUGGGUUUACUAACUUCCCAUCUUUUGCACCAGGAAUGAAUUUCAGCCCUUUAUUUCCUUCUAAUUUUGGAGAUUUUUCUCAGAAUGUUUCUACACCCACUGAACAGCAGCAGCCAUUAGCUCAAAAUCCUUCAGGGAAAACAGAGUAUAUGGCUUUCCCAAAACCCUUUGAAAG
This 576-nucleotide long non-coding RNA is filed under the name Rattus norvegicus (Norway rat). RNAcentral's name for it is "long non-coding RNA NONRATT012007". Lineage: Eukaryota; Metazoa; Chordata; Mammalia; Rodentia; Muridae. The record is from RNAcentral.